Solanum dulcamara is the source of this 805-nucleotide long non-coding RNA. RefSeq lists it as uncharacterized. The record is from RefSeq and is a predicted model, not a curated record. The transcript is spliced from 2 exons. NCBI's taxonomy places the organism in Eukaryota, Viridiplantae, Streptophyta, Magnoliopsida, Solanales, Solanaceae.
CAAAAAACAAACGGAGCUCCGAAUAGAACCUUACAUAUAUAUACCCGAAGUCGGCUUCAAUUCAACGCAUUGAAAGUUGAAACAUGAACAAAAUUUAUUGAAGAUCCAUUUAGAAAGUAAGAAUUCUGGAAAACCCAAGAAGAGAUUUAAGGGUUUUUAAUGAAGGUUUGAAGAUACAAAUCAUUAAAUUAAGAAGAAAUGGCACAGGCGAGUAAAGAGCCCUGUAAGAAACAGGCUUGCGAUAUUCAGGCUUGUCUUUCCAAGAACAAUUUCCUUCCUCAAAGGUGUGUAAAAGUGAUCGAAGCAUUGAAAUAUUGUUGUGAGCAAUGUGAAUACAAGUCAACACAUUGUGCUUCUCUGUCUGGGCUGCUAAAGCAAAUACAGAAAAAAUAGAGUUCAAGAAAUGACUUCAGACCUCAGAUAAUACAAUAUCCUGGUUGUUCUCCGUAGCAAAGGGAGCCAAAGUGAGGUCCUCCUCAGAAGAUCUCAGAGCCAAAUAUCUUGUUACUUUAUGGACGUUCUUAGUGCAAUCAAGAAAGCUGGAUCACUGCUCAGUUUUAGAAGUUGAGCAUGACAUUUGUGGAAUUAUUUUAGUUUUAUGUCAUAGGUACCAUAGCGUAUUGAACCUCAGAAGACAGCGGCAUACUUAAUUUCAUUAGCAAAUAAAUAGUAGUGAUGAUGGCCGUGGCGUACUGGAACUUGUAGAUUGAACGCAUUCUCUCAUUUUGACCAGCUUGUAUUGAUGAACAGAGCAAGAUUUUCUCAUUCGGCAUCAUAUACUAUUUCAGAAUUUGAAUGUUUGAAA